Molecule: ribosomal RNA, 620 nt
Filed under: uncultured Russula
Lineage: Eukaryota; Fungi; Basidiomycota; Agaricomycetes; Russulales; Russulaceae
Description: eukaryotic LSU rRNA
Rfam family: 5.8S ribosomal RNA (bases 182-335)
Source: RNAcentral
ACAACCGAGGUGCGGAGGCUGUCGCUGACCCUCAAAGGUCGUGCACGCCCGAGCGCUCUCACACAAUCCAUCUCACCUUUGUGCAUCACCGCGUGGGUCCCCUUUGCGGGAGGGCCUGCGUUUUCACAUAAAACUCGAUACAGUGUAGAAUGUUUCUUUUGCGGUCACACGCAAUCAAUACAACUUUCAACAACGGAUCUCUUGGCUCUCGCAUCGAUGAAGAACGCAGCGAAAUGCGAUACGUAAUGUGAAUUGCAGAAUUCAGUGAAUCAUCGAAUCUUUGAACGCACCUUGCGCCCCUUGGCAUUCCGAGGGGCACACCCGUUUGAGUGUCGUGAAAUCUUCAAAACCCUUUUUUCCCUUUGAACCAUUGCGGUCGGGAAAAGGAUUUUUGGACUUGGAGGCUCAAUGCUCGCCCUUUUCUUUUUGAAAGCGCGAGCUCCUCUCAAAUGAAUUAGUGGGGUCCGCUUUGCUGAUCCUUGACGUGAUAAAAUGUUUCUACGUUUUGGGUUUAGCACUGUCCCUUGGAUGCCUGCUCCUAAUCGUCUCAUNGACAAUGAUGNUGCUCUGGUCACNGCNGUCUACAUCGGCGGAGGCUGGACCCACAAAAGAAACCUUGA